Molecule: ribosomal RNA, 428 nt
Filed under: uncultured bacterium
Lineage: Bacteria
Description: partial 16S ribosomal RNA
Rfam family: Bacterial small subunit ribosomal RNA
Source: RNAcentral
CCUCGGGUGGCUGCAGUGGGGAAUAUUGGACAAUGGGCGAAACCUGAUCCAGCCAUGCCGCGUGUGUGAAGAGGUCUUCGGAUUGUAAGCACUUUAAGUUGGGAGGCGUUACCGACAGAAUAAGCACCGGCUAACUCUGUGCCAGCAGCCGCGGUAAUACAGAGGGUGCAAGCGUUAAUCGGAAUUACUGGGCGUAAAGCGCGCGUAGGUGGUUUGUUAAGUUGGAUGUGAAAUCCCCGGGCUCAACCUGGGAACUGCAUCCAAAACUGGCAAGCUAGAGUAUGGUAGAGGGUGGUGGAAUUUCCUGUGUAGCGGUGAAAUGCGUAGAUAUAGGAAGGAACACCAGUGGCGAAGGCGACCACCUGGACUGAACUGACACUGAGGUGCGAAAGCGUGGGGAGCAAACAGGAUUAGAUACCCCUGUAGUC